RNAcentral lists this unclassified non-coding RNA (185 nucleotides) under fungal sp. RNAcentral's name for it is "partial internal transcribed spacer region". The stretch from base 1 to 46 matches the Rfam family "Eukaryotic small subunit ribosomal RNA", at positions 1786 to 1831 of the family's 1831-position model. The record is from RNAcentral. Lineage: Eukaryota; Fungi.
AAGUCGUAACAAGGUUUCCGUAGGUGAACCUGCGGAAGGAUCAUUAGUAAGUGUUGUACCAAAUUUUAUUUGGUGCUUCAUUUUUGUGAACUGGAGGUUUCGGCCUCGCUUUUUUUUCAUGUUGUAUUUUUUUUUUAUUUUUUUAAAAAUUAAGACAACUUUCAGCAAUGGAUCUCUUGGCUCUU